Molecule: non-coding RNA, 552 nt
Organism: Styela clava
Lineage: Eukaryota; Metazoa; Chordata; Ascidiacea; Stolidobranchia; Styelidae
Source: RefSeq, a predicted model, not a curated record
GAAGACAGCGAUACGUGCAAAAGACCGACUUUCAUUAAACUGUGAAGCAUUUGAGAAAUAUAAACAAAUUCUGUUAGAAGAGAGAAGACAAACCAGAUUUGAAAAAGAGAAAAAGAUAAUAAGAUUAUUUCAGUGAAAUGCUGGCCAUCGGUUUUGUAUGACGUCAAAAUGAAUAGAAACAUUAUUUAUGGAGUUAUAAUUACUCAUCGAUUUUAAUCGGUAUAACGCUGUUGAGGAACCUUCUGAUUCACAUAUCAACGUAAUGUUUUGCUCAAAAUCAAAUUAUUGAAUGAAAUCACACUAUAACUUGUAGAUUUUGAUAUUUUUCAAAAUGCUGUAUUUCGCAAGUUUGAAGUGGUCCCGAAAUCUCACCACAACACGAGAAAUAGAUUUGAUUUUAAUUUUCGUAUAGUCGGUAAUCUUAUCGUCAUUUAAUCAAAUUAUUCAACCCCAACUUGAGCUGACUCACUUAUUUAUCCACUCUGGAUUACCUGCGAAGGAACCCAAAGUAUAAUAUACUAUGGACUAUGAUCAAUAGGAUAAUUCUAGUGA